CAGCAGCCGCGGGAAUACGUAGGUGACGAGCGUUGUCCGGAAUUAUUGGGCGCAAAGGGAGCGCAGGCGGUUGGAAUAGUCUGAUGUGAAAGCCCACGGCUUAACCGUGGAAGGUCAUUGGAAACUGUCCAACUUGAAUGCAGAAGAGGAAAGUGGAAUUCCAUGUGUAGCGGUGAAAUGCGUAGAUAUAUGGAGGAACACCAGUGGCGAAGGCGACUUUCUGGUCUGUAAUUGACGCUGAGGCUCGAAAGCGUGGGUAGCGAACAGGAUUAGAUACCCCUGUAGUCCCUGUCUCUUAUAC
RNAcentral lists this ribosomal RNA (301 nucleotides) under uncultured bacterium. RNAcentral describes it as "partial 16S ribosomal RNA". It matches the Rfam family "Bacterial small subunit ribosomal RNA", at positions 509 to 807 of the family's 1533-position model. The record is from RNAcentral.